RNAcentral lists this ribosomal RNA (1459 nucleotides) under metagenome. RNAcentral describes it as "bacterial LSU rRNA". It matches the Rfam family "Bacterial large subunit ribosomal RNA", at positions 1489 to 2925 of the family's 2925-position model. The record is from RNAcentral.
AGCUUGGCGUUGGUUGUCCAAGUUUAAGGUGGUAGGCUGAAAUCUUAGGUAAAUCCGGGGUUUCAAGGCCGAGAGCUGAUGACGAGUCGUCUUUUAGAUGACGAAGUGGUUGAUGCCAUGCUUCCAAGAAAAGCUUCUAAGCUUCAGGUAACCAGGAACCGUACCCCAAACCGACACAGGUGGUCGGGUAGAGAAUACCAAGGCGCUUGAGAGAACUCGGGUGAAGGAACUAGGCAAAAUGGCACCGUAACUUCGGGAGAAGGUGCGCCGGCUAGGGUGAAGGAUUUACUCCGUAAGCUCUGGCUGGUCGAAGAUACCAGGCCGCUGCGACUGUUUAUUAAAAACACAGCACUCUGCAAACACGAAAGUGGACGUAUAGGGUGUGACGCCUGCCCGGUGCCGGAAGGUUAAUUGAUGGGGUUAGCGCAAGCGAAGCUCUUGAUCGAAGCCCCGGUAAACGGCGGCCGUAACUAUAACGGUCCUAAGGUAGCGAAAUUCCUUGUCGGGUAAGUUCCGACCUGCACGAAUGGCGUAACGAUGGCGGCGCUGUCUCCACCCGAGACUCAGUGAAAUUGAAAUCGCUGUGAAGAUGCAGUGUAUCCGCGGCUAGACGGAAAGACCCCGUGAACCUUUACUGUAGCUUUGCACUGGACUUUGAGCCUGCUUGUGUAGGAUAGGUGGGAGGCUUUGAAGCGUGGACGCCAGUUCGCGUGGAGCCAUCCUUGAAAUACCACCCUGGCAUGCUUGAGGUUCUAACUCUGGUCCGUAAUCCGGAUCGAGGACAGUGUAUGGUGGGCAGUUUGACUGGGGCGGUCUCCUCCUAAAGAGUAACGGAGGAGUACGAAGGUGCGCUCAGACCGGUCGGAAAUCGGUCGCAGAGUAUAAAGGCAAAAGCGCGCUUGACUGCGAGACAGACACGUCGAGCAGGUACGAAAGUAGGUCUUAGUGAUCCGGUGGUUCUGUAUGGAAGGGCCAUCGCUCAACGGAUAAAAGGUACUCCGGGGAUAACAGGCUGAUACCGCCCAAGAGUUCAUAUCGACGGCGGUGUUUGGCACCUCGAUGUCGGCUCAUCACAUCCUGGGGCUGAAGCCGGUCCCAAGGGUAUGGCUGUUCGCCAUUUAAAGUGGUACGCGAGCUGGGUUUAGAACGUCGUGAGACAGUUCGGUCCCUACCUGCCGUGGACGUUUGAGAUUUGAGAGGGGCUGCUCCUAGUACGAGAGGACCGGAGUGGACGAACCUCUGGUGUUCCGGUUGUCACGCCAGUGGCAUUGCCGGGUAGCUAUGUUCGGAAAAGAUAACCGCUGAAAGCAUCUAAGCGGGAAACUUGCCUCAAGAUGAGAUCUCACUGGGAACUUGAUUCCCCUGAAGGGCCGUCGAAGACUACGACGUUGAUAGGCUGGGUGUGUAAGCGUUGUGAGGCGUUGAGCUAACCAGUACUAAUUGCCCGUGAGGCUUGAUC